Papaver somniferum (opium poppy) is the source of this 627-nucleotide long non-coding RNA. RefSeq lists it as uncharacterized. NCBI's taxonomy places the organism in Eukaryota, Viridiplantae, Streptophyta, Magnoliopsida, Ranunculales, Papaveraceae. The record is from RefSeq and is a predicted model, not a curated record. The transcript has 4 exons.
CUCAAUGUGACGUCAAUCUUCUUCGGAAGGAACAUUAAGAAGUUCUGUGUCCAAUGAGCCUAGUCAUGAUUGUUCUGUUGGAAAAUCUGAUCUACAACUCGUUGAGAAACUUGAGCCUUGUUCAGAGGGCAUUUUUGAAUCAUCCAAAAUUAAAGCUGUUGUAUCGGACUAUGGUGGUUGCUUUCCUUGCAGAAGGUGCUCACAACCAGGACCUUGUUCAGGUGCAUAACUCAUAGCCGUAAUCCAGACCCUGGACCUUGUAAGUGUUGCAGAUUUGAGUGACAAAACAGGACGCUAGCAAAGACUGUUAUGUGGUAGAAAUUCCAAGAGGGAGCAGGUCGAAUUAAAGUUUGAUCAUAUAAAUGGGAAUGGGUGCAGCUAUGGACCUCCCUACGAGUGUCAACUGGCAAGUCUGCUUGCUUAGGGCUGGAACAAUGGACCUGAUUUGAGCAAGGUUGUCAUAAAAUGAAGGCAUAAAUGGUGAAGUCCUAACUUCAACUUAGUGUUGAAACUUUAUGAUUUGUUAAGCAUGUAAUAGGAUAUUGGUCAAGGUUUUCCAACUUAGUCUCCAACAUUUUCAGACUUGGAACUUGCAGUAUUUUAGAAAGUUGAAAUUGUAAACUGAAU